AACGAACGUUGGCGGCGUGGAUUAGGCAUGCAAGUCGAGGGCGAAAGGGGGCAACUCCGAUCGACCGGCGUAAGGGGUAGUAAGGCGUGGGUAACCAACCCUCCGGAUGGGAAUAGCUUCGGGAAACUGAAGGUAAUACCCAACGACGUUGCCGAGAGGCAUCUUUUGGCAACCAAAGGUGUGAUUCCGCCGGAGGACGGGCUCACGUGGUAUUAGCUAGUUGGUAGGGUAAUGGCCUACCAAGGCAUCGAUGCCAGGGGGGUGUUAGCGCACGACCCCCACCACUGGGACGUNAGACACUGCCCACGACACCUACGGGUGGCUGCAGUCGAGAAUCUUCGGCAAUGGGCGCAAGCCUGACCGAGCGACGCCGCGUGCGGGAUGG
RNAcentral lists this ribosomal RNA (385 nucleotides) under uncultured bacterium. RNAcentral's name for it is "bacterial SSU rRNA". It matches the Rfam family "Bacterial small subunit ribosomal RNA", at positions 29 to 411 of the family's 1533-position model. The record is from RNAcentral.